GAUGAAGAACGUAGCGAAAUGCGAUAAGUAAUGUGAAUUGCAGAAUUCAGUGAAUCAUCGAAUCUUUGAACGCACAUUGCGCCCGCCAGUAUUCUGGCGGGCAUGCCUGUUCGAGCGUCAUUUCAACCAUCAAGCCCCCGGGCUUGUGUUGGGGACCUGCGGCCGCCGCAGGCCCUGAAAAGCAGUGGCGGGCUCGCUGUCACACCGAGCGUAGUAGAUUUUAUCUCGCUCAGGGCGUGCUGCGGGUUCCGGCCGUUAAACCACCUUCAUAACCCAAGGUUGACCUCGGAUCAGGUAGGAAGACCCGCUGAACUUAAGCAUAUCAAUAAGCGGAGGA
Molecule: unclassified non-coding RNA, 337 nt
Filed under: soil metagenome
Description: partial contains 5.8S ribosomal RNA, internal transcribed spacer 2, and large subunit ribosomal RNA
Rfam family: 5.8S ribosomal RNA (bases 1-120)
Source: RNAcentral